UCACCCCUCUCCACUAUAUAUAGAGUCCAUCCGGGUUCUACAGGAUGCUGUUUGGCGACUCGUCGCCAUUCCCGGAGCAGCUCGGCCUCGGCCCAGGGGCGAGUAUCCGUCGCUGUGUCGGAGACGCCUGUCCCCGACACCAAGACAGCCAGCCCUCUCCCCUGCCUCGCGGCGGGAGAGCGUGUCCGGCCGGCCGGCGGGGCUCGCGCACCCUCCCUCGCCUCCCCUUCCCCCGCAGCCUCCGCCCCGCCAGGCCCGGCCCGGACUCCCGAGCCCCGGCCUCCUCCUCGUCCUCGGUCGCCGCUGCCGCCGGGCUUAACAGCCCCGUCCGCCGCUUCUCUUCCUAGUUUGAGAAGCCAAGGAAGGAAACAGGGAAAAAUGUCGCCAUGAAGGCCGAGAACCGCUGCCGCCGCCGACCCCCGCCGGCCCUGAACGCCAUGAGCCUGGGUCCCCGCCGCUCCCGCUCCGCUCCGACCGCUGUCGCCUCCGAGGCCCCCGUUGAUGCCGCUGAGCUCCCCCAACGCCGCCGCCACCGCCUCCGACAUGGACAAGAACAGCGGCUCCAACAGCUCCUCCGCCUCUUCGGGCAGCAGCAAAGGGCAACAGCAGCCCCGCUCCGCCUCGGCGGGGCCAGCCGGCGAGUCUAAACCCAAGAGCGAUGGAAAGAACUCAAGUGGAUCCAAGCGUUGUAAUCGCAAACGUGAACUUUCCUACCCCAAAAAUGAAAGUUUUAGCAACCAGUCCCGUCGCUCCAGUUCACAGAAAAGCAAGACUUUUAACAAGAUGCCUCCUCAAAGGGGCGGCGGCAGCAGCAAACUCUUUAGCUCUUCUUUUAAUGGUGGAAGACGAGAUGAGGUAGCAGAGGCUCAACGGGCAGAGUUUAGCCCUGCCCAGUUCUCUGGUCCUAAGAAGAUCAACCUGAACCACUUGUUGAAUUUCACUUUUGAACCCCGUGGCCAGACGGGUCACUUUGAAGGCAGUGGACAUGGUAGCUGGGGAAAAAGGAACAAGUGGGGACAUAAGCCUUUUAACAAAGAACUCUUUUUACAGGCCAACUGCCAAUUUGUGGUGUGUGAAGACCAAGACUACACAGCUCAUUUUGCUGAUCCUGAUACAUUAGUUAACUGGGACUUUGUGGAACAAGUGCGCAUUUGUAGCCAUGAAGUGCCAUCUUGCCCCAUAUGCCUCUAUCCACCUACUGCAGCCAAGAUAACUCGUUGUGGACACAUCUUCUGCUGGGCAUGCAUCCUGCACUAUCUUUCACUGAGUGAGAAGAUGUGGAGUAAAUGUCCCAUCUGUUACAGUUCUGUGCAUAAGAAGGAUCUCAAGAGUGUUGUUGCCACAGAGUCACGUCAGUAUGUUGUUGGUGAUACCAUUACGAUGCAGCUGAUGAAGAGGGAGAAAGGGGUGUUGGUGGCUUUGCCCAAAUCCAAAUGGAUGAAUGUAGACCAUCCCAUUCAUCUAGGAGAUGAACAACACAGCCAGUACUCCAAGUUGCUGCUGGCCUCUAAGGAGCAGGUGCUGCACCGGGUAGUUCUGGAGGAGAAAGUAGCACUAGAGCAGCAGCUGGCAGAGGAGAAGCACACUCCCGAGUCCUGCUUUAUUGAGGCAGCUAUCCAGGAGCUCAAGACUCGGGAAGAGGCUCUGUCGGGAUUGGCUGGAAGCAGAGGGGAGGUCACUGGUGUUGUGGCUGCUUUGGAACAACUGGUGCUGAUGGCUCCCUUGGCGAAGGAGUCUGUUUUUCAUCCCAGGAAGAGUUUGCUGCAACAGGGUGUGCUGGAGUAUCUGUCUGCCUUCGAUGAAGAAACUACGGAAGUUUGUUCUCUGGACACUCCUUCUAGACCUCUUGCUCUCCCUCUGGUAGAGGAGGAGGAAGCAGUGUCUGAACCAGAGCCUGAGGGGUUGCCAGAGGCCUGUGAUGACUUGGAGUUAGCAGAUGACAAUCUUAAAGAGGGAACCAUUUGCACUGAGUCCAGCCAGCAGGAACCCAUCACCAAGCCAGGCUUCACACGCCUCAGCAGCUCUCCUUGUUACUACUUUUACCAAGCGGAAGAUGGGCAGCACAUGUUCCUGCACCCGGUGAAUGUGCGCUGCCUCGUGCGGGAGUACGGCAGCCUGGAGAGGAGCCCUGAGAAGAUCUCAGCAACUGUGGUGGAGAUUGCUGGCUACUCCAUGUCUGAGGAUGUUCGACAGCGUCAUAGAUAUCUCUCUCACUUGCCACUCACCUGUGAGUUCAGCAUCUGUGAACUGGCUUUGCAGCCUCCUGUGGUCUCUAAGGAAACCCUAGAGAUGUUCUCAGAUGACAUUGAGAAGAGGAAACGUCAGCGCCAAAAGAAGGCUCGGGAGGAACGCCGCCGAGAGCGCAGGAUUGAAAUAGAGGAGAACAAGAAACAGGGCAAGUAUCCAGAAGUCCACAUUCCCCUCGAGAAUCUACAGCAGUUUCCUGCCUUCAAUUCUUAUACCUGCUCCUCCGAUCCUGCUUUGGGUCCCACCAGCACCGAGGGCCACGGAGCCCUCUCCCUUUCUCCUCUCAGCAGAAGUCCAGGUUCUCAUGCAGAUGCUGAGGGUUGGAAAAGCAAAAGCAGAUGUGUGGCCCAAAACUGCUCCAAAGAAAGAUGAGAACAGCUUAGUUCCUCCUGCCCCUGUGGAGAGCGAUGGGGAGAGUGAUAAUUCAGACCGUGUUCCUGUGCCCAGUUUUCAAAAUUCCUUCAGCCAAGCUAUUGAAGCAGCCUUCAUGAAACUGGACACACCAGCUACUUCAGAUCCCCUCUCUGAAGAGAAAGGAGGAAAGAAAAGAAAAAAACAGAAACAGAAGCUCCUGUUCAGCACCUCAGUCGUCCACACCAAGUGACACUACUGGCCCAGGCUACCUUCUCCAUCUGGUUUUUGUUUUUUGUUUUUUUCCCCCAUGCUUUUGUUUGGCUGCUAUAAUUUUUAAGUAUUUGAGUUUGAACAGAUUAGCUCUGGGGGGAGGGUGUUUCCACAAUGUGAGGGGGAACCAAGAAAAUUUUAAAUACAGUGUAUUUUCCAGCUUCCUGUCUUUACACCAAAAUAAAGUAUUGACACAAGAGAUCUCUUCCUGCCAAGGUUUUUUAGUUCAUUGCCAGUUUAGUCUUUUUGACCCAUGUGUAAUUAAUUUUUCUCAACCCAAAAUAAGAUUGAGUCCCUUCGAGAUGCAUUAGAGCAGUCCAACCCAGAAUGGCGCACACACUGCUCUGCUGUAGCAUCAUGUCAGGUCUUCCUGGGCUCAGCACACCUCUGUCUUUUAAAAAACAGCUGAAUCUUUACUACCUAUUUAGUUCUCCUUGUUAAAGAAAUGGGUGGGAAUAAAAUGGAUUUAGGACACGCAGUUUGAAUUGCAGUUUAUUUUUCUUCUGACACAUGGCCAGGCUGUGGUGCCAGCUUAAUGGAGUAGGCUGUCCCUGGCACUUGCAUGUGUGAAAGGAGGGUUUUGCCUCUUCUUGAGCAUGGCUUGCGUUGGUAAGGAAAGCUGUAACUCACGAAGCCCUGAGACUUUCUCUACCCCUAAGAUCAAGCUUGUUUUAGGUGACUGGCUUGAGUCAUAGGAACAGGAAUCUGGUACAGAUGCAGGAGAGCAGGGCCAUCUAAAGCAGUAGCAUUGCCACCAUCUCCCUCUAAUCUAGAGCAGUCUUCUUAUGCCUUGGUUUGAGCUGAAUUUGAUGUAAAUUCUUUUUCUGCUUAAUAAAGUGACCUCUAGGUGUGUUAGAA
Molecule: RNA transcript, 3729 nt
Organism: Piliocolobus tephrosceles (Ugandan red Colobus)
Lineage: Eukaryota; Metazoa; Chordata; Mammalia; Primates; Cercopithecidae
Gene: RNF10
Gene name: ring finger protein 10
Exons: 16
Source: RefSeq, a predicted model, not a curated record